CGGGGGUCCACUUUGUGGCGCCCCGGGUGGAGCCACCCUUUCCACCCCUCACGGCUUCUUCCCGAGGUCGAGGGAGUCUGGUUCUCUACGGUCGACCCUCGGGGCAUCCCGACCUUAGUCGAGGGAUCCUUGCGUCAAGCCGAUGUUUCAUCGUCCUGCGAUACUUCUCGAGGUCGAGGGAGUUUGGAACUCUACGGUCGAGUCUCGAGGCAUCCCG
Molecule: long non-coding RNA, 217 nt
Filed under: Phoenix dactylifera (date palm)
Lineage: Eukaryota; Viridiplantae; Streptophyta; Magnoliopsida; Arecales; Arecaceae
Description: long non-coding RNA (PDAC_LNC016687)
Source: RNAcentral